Long non-coding RNA from Gallus gallus (chicken), 5912 nucleotides. RefSeq lists it as uncharacterized. NCBI's taxonomy places the organism in Eukaryota, Metazoa, Chordata, Aves, Galliformes, Phasianidae. The record is from RefSeq and is a predicted model, not a curated record. The transcript is spliced from 2 exons.
CUGAUUCUAAAUUAACUUCCACUUGGCUGAGAGUUUUUCUGCUCAUCCGUACUGGGAAAUUAAAACCACAGACUAAUGAAGACAUUCAUACACUAAUCUUUUGUACUUUAGUUUAUCCUAUUCAGUCUCCCAGAAGCAAUCACAGUGUCCUGGAAAUUCUGCCGAACACAAAUAGACAGUUUGCAGAGCUUCAGCUCUCAGAGCCCAGAAAUGCAGGAGAAAAGUACAACAUUGCGCAGAACCUCAUCACUGGAAUGCAAUAUAUAGAAGUACUGCCACGAAUAAGAACUGAGCAUUUUCAGUAAAAGAUUUACAUGCUUUCUGAACUUUGUACUUCUUACAUUUGCACAAUCUGUGUUAUAAACAGUCUGUCUGUGCAAUGCUAAAAAGCUCAUUUUAAGAGCACAGUAUUGAACCACUAACCAAGGCAAACGCAUACAUUCUGGGAUACCGUGAGAUUACAGAAUCAGUAGGAGGGAAUUCUGGCACAGCAUUAUAGUUUUGUGAGAACAGGAAGCACAGCAUCGCACAACUUGUAAGAGAACAUACCAUCAAGCCUAUCACACCACAGUAGAAGAUAUAAACAAAGCCACUUCUGUGAAAAACAAUAUAGAAGAAAUAAAUGACUGCAUCCUGGCUCCCAGGUCUGGAGUAGAGAUUUCCAUGCAUAUAAGGAGGAGCAUACAGAACACUGUGCUGGGAGCCAGAGAAUGAAUUUCUCUGUUUCUCCAUAUUGACACCUUUCCACAAAUCAGAGGAUUGGAUUUUUUUCUGUGGUAUACAACAACUCCAAAUGCUUAUUUUUAACCUACAGCAUUUUUUUUUUCCUUAAAGAAUCACCACCAGAAAGCACAAAUGAUGGGGCUAUACAAUGUGCUGUUUUCACUGUCUACUUAGAUAGAUUUUAUUGAUAGAAUACAGCUAAAUCUGUGUUUCUGAUUGUUAUACUCCACAGAAGCUUCCUUUGUUGUUACUGCAAGCUUCACUUCAGAAACCCUCAAAGACCUGAGCCAUUGUAUGAAAGGUUCUUAUGUAUGAAUAGUCCCUGCACCAGAGGAGAUAGUGAAAAAUGUUCUGAUUCAUAUGCGUAAAAACGCUUCUUCAGGACUAUGCAGUUACAGUGUGGAGGUGAACUUUGCAUACCUCUUCUCCCUGCUGAAGCAAAGAGAAUUUAGAUUACCACAAAAUAGAGGCAGAAAACUAUGCUCAAGUGCAGCUGUUAGAUCUGAGCAGAUAAUGGCAGCAAGUAAACAGCACCUGAACAGCAAGUAAACAGAAUCUGAGCUCAGAGCUCCUUGCUGUGCUCAAAAGAAGAGAAUGUAAGACACCCAUCUCCAGUUCUCUUUCUGUUCUUCAGUGUAAAGGGUGCUUUGAUUCUUCUACGUUAUCUUUAGUUAUCUUAGUUAUCCUUAACUAUCGUUCACAUGGUUUCUGGUUUUCCCACUGCAGACCCUGGAAAUCAUUCACCUACACAUAAUAUUUUUCUUCUUUCUCACUUCUUAUACCUACCAAUGUCUGUGCAGAUGUUGUGCUCUUUCCACUUUUACUUAUUUCCCCUCUAGUACCCUAAUUUUUUGUUUAUUAUACUCUCUCCCCUUAAAUUCCGUUCAUCUCCCCAUUUACAAAUCCUUCUGUACAUUCAGUCAUUCAGUUUAACAAAAUUCUUACAGAUCAUCUUAGCUACCUUCACAGUAGUACUCUGUGCACCUUACAGCACUCUGGGCAGACCACUUGAUUGCCAGAAGAUAGUCACACAGCAGAGGAGAUGGGUUGGCUGCUAUUCCUUAGUGCAAUGUCAGGUCUCUCAGAUAUGAACUAUGAAGCAGCCUUUGUACUCUUCCGCCACAGCCCAGACACUGCAGGCCAGACCCUUGGUAUAAGUGGCAGUGCUGGACUAAGAAACUCACAAAGUUUGCAGGAAAAAGAAUGAUCUGCCUAGAAACUGGGACAGUGGUAUAGAUAUAGUUUGUUUACUUUAGAGAUGGAAUGAAGAAAUACUUUAAAAAAAAAAAAAAGAGUUUAAUGAUAACACUUCUGCAGCAAACAGCUAUGAGCGUAACAGCUAGACAAGCAGGUAGCCAAAGGGACGCCCAGUUACUGGUCAGCAAUUAGACAAGUUCUGAGGAUUGUAAGUGCAGGGCACAGGGUCAGAUCUUCAGGUUCUCCACAGAUUUUCUCAGGAAGGAGCUGUAAGCUUCCAGCCUUCCAGCUGGAGGACUCCUGACUGACAGGUUAGUCUUGCAGGCACUUGUGAGCCUGAUGUUCAUCCUGUUCCAUUUUCCAAGGCCAAAAGGACUAUGUCCGGAUGGCCAAGCUGGGGCAAGCAGUACUUCAUGCAUGACUGUGGGUAUGUAGCUCUUGGGCCACACUGACUCGGCACACGGCCUGAUCCCAUGAGCACACACAGGGGAACACUUAAGUGUGACAAAGAGCAGCACUUUCUUUCCACAGAUAGAAAGAGGCAAGAAAGGCAGCACACUGAGGUGGAGGUGGAGACCCACAGGCCUGGAGUGCUGGGAAGCCUGCAGCAGGGUCAGUGUGCAGAAUGAGAGGUGAACCUGGCUGGUGAGCCUGGCCCAGUUAUUUCAGACAUGGGCUCUGAGAGAGCAGGACUUGGGAGAGCUUCUCUUUAAAACAUCUGCAACCAGGGCACCUGUCUGUAUGUUUCCUCACCAUAUUCACAUACCUGACCCCAUAUUUGGGCUAACCCUUCCUCCGUGCUGCUCAAAUGUGUUUCUGCAAAGGGUAAGAGUGAAAUUGCUUGCUAUCUUCAUGACAGCAAGGCACUGAUUUUGUCAAUGAAUGCAAAAAGGAGGCCAACAGCACAAUGUGCCCCCCAAAGGAUUUUCUGUAAGAGGAGCUUAUCACACUUAGGUGAAUUCUGCUAUUAAUCUGUGCUAAUCCUAAUGGGUUCAGAGUAGAGUUUUACUGAGACCAACACAAGACUUACGAAUUUAUCUGUGCUAAUACAUUGAGGUGAUUUAAUUCCUGUGUCCUUGUGUUGCUUUUUUCAUCUGUACAAUGAAAAUAUAUCUGUCCUUCAUAACAUAGCUGUGGAUCAGUGCUCUUGGACUGUUUACAAAAUCUCUCCUCUGUCUGCUCUUUGCCUGUUCUGUCAUCAGCACAGAAUUUCAGAGCCAUGAAGUAUCCUUACAGAUUGCACUCUGCUCACAGAAAUAAGCCAUGGGUCCAGGGCAAAAGUGAAGAUCACAGCCUUUGAAGAUGUUAUAACACAACAAAUGUUCUCUAGCUGCUCAGACUCGGUCAACUGUUUCUCUUGACCUCUGCUCGGAGCAGCAUUGGCUGAGCCCCAUCAAGGUCCCCUCUGUUAUCUCCUCAGUAUUUUCAGAGCAGCUCCACAGCAUUUAAUAAAGACAGGCAAUUAAUCCUGACUGAAAAUAAAAGGCAUCAAUCCUUCUUGCCUUGACAUAAAAAGCAGUGGAUGGAGUGGUGACAGACCCUCUGUAGUUCAGUCCUAUCCCCUAUGUAGGGGACAACUAAAAGACUAAAAGUAAGGCUUUGUAGUAAGCAGUAUUGUGGUAAACACAUUUUUAAAUAUAUAUCAUGACCCUACUUUUCAAAUAGUAUUUGCAGAAGAAUCACAGAAAAGCAAGACUGAAAGAGACAUCCAGCUGUGGGUGAUAGUAGGAUCACUCACCUUUCAGAUCACCUUUGGCCACUCUCGGUCGCUGUCAGUGACGCUUCCCAUGCUAGAGGAGAAAGCUGAGAAAGGUGCAAUACAGUAUAAAAGGUACCCUAGAAAGAUAUAUCUUAGUAAUCUUAACUGGAUGAUGUCGUAACUAGCUCCCUGAACUGUAAAAGGGAAGUAAGAGGUUUGGUAAUCAUCAUUUUUAUGUGCCUUCUAAUGGGAGCCAAUUCCAGCAAUGAAUCAUCCCCUAACAUUUUGUUAGAGCACAGGUCAGCAGUACAGACCUGCUGAAUCAUAUAGGAGUGCUAGCACCAGACUCAGAGAAGCACAGAUGACCAGGGCCAGACUGCAGAAACUUUCUGAGAGAAAGGAGAAGUAGUUUAAUAAUGGACAAACUGAGGGGGUGGGGGGGGAGGUAAGAAAAAGAAAACAAACUUAGCAUGCUCUUGUUUGAAUACCAACCAAAAGUUGUUAAAAUUAUGCUUUAAUUACACAUUAUGAGAUAUCCCUUGGCUCAUUUCUGCAAGAUUAUCUUUGAGUAUGGUAAAGGGAAAUUUUAAGAGCAUAUUAUUUGUGUUUCUUAAAAUACUUGUACAUCAGAAUCAUACAGCAUAUAAAAUGCUGCUAAUUCGUUGCAUAAUUUAGCUCCUCAGUGGGACUUAGUUGCUUGGGCAAUUAUAUUUUGUGGAAUGGUAACAGCCAGUUCAGUGAAUCCUGAUGAAUAAUAUUCCAUCUUCAUAUUCAGAAUUCAGCCUUCUCUAGGAGUUUUCUGAACUUUUUAUACUUUCUGAGUACAAAAAAAAUCACAUAUCGUUCAGAAAGAGCUAAAAAAAAUCUGAUUUAUAAGUUUUUAUGAACUUCUGGUCUAAAUCUGAGCACCUGCUCACUUCCCUCUUCCUUGCAGUCAGAUGAGCACAAGACCACAGUGUGCACCCAACCCUGGGAGCACUGCUCUCCCCACCUAGGGCUGGGUUCUUGGUUUGAGUUGAGAUCCCUGAGAACCCAGUGUCUCUCAUUUCUAAACUAUUCUUGUAGGCAGUUUUCGGUAAUUUAGCCCAGCAUGAGUAUUGAAAGAUGAAGAAGAGGCUGAAGAGCAACUUCAAGAGGAUGCAGAGUAAAUCCAGCAAUGUGUGCAUGCAGUUCCUAUCUAAGCAAGUGCCAAUCUCUCUGAUUCAGUGUGCUCUUUGACUAAAUGUGAAUAUAUAUGCAGGCCAACCAAUUUUCAAGAAUGCCAUGACAGCAAUAUCAACAUUUCUCUACCUAUUUUUCAGAGGUUUUUCUAACAUCUUUGUACUGAAAUACAGGUUCUUUCCUCACUCUGUACAGACUUGUAAAAAUACGGUUACUUCCUGUUAAAUGAUGUGUAUAAAUACACUGUGAGAAUCAAAUGAUAACCAUUUUGCUCAGAUCUAAAAUGUUUUCUGUCAAGCCCUUGUUCCACUGCAUUUUCAGUGCUUUCCAACAAAGCAGCCGUGCAAUAUACAGUAUAUUAUUUUACUGUCUGGAUUUUUUAACCACUGUAUCCUGAAAGAAAUAAAAAAAUGAAGAAAACAUUCAUGGUCUCCAAGGCUGACAGACAGAAAGCUCAAAAGCUCAUCGAGGAAAACACAGGAGACCUAGGAGGGAAGAUGCAGAUGUGUAACCUUAUAUCAGAAGAACACCGUGACAGAAGCUGGUCACAUUUAGAGCAGCAGUUUGAUUCCACAAAAAUGCCAUGGCCCUCUAGUGCUGGCUACUGUGCUUUUACUUCUUGUAUUCACCCAUGGACAUGGACAGACACCAGCAAAGCUGCUCCAGAGGUUUAAACAACAAGGACUGUGUUUAUUACCAUCACUUUGCCAAUGUCAGUAAUGUCACAAAGCCAAAGAAUAUGGCCCUGAUUCACAAAAACAAGUAUAUUUUUUUUUGUUGAUAUGUCCCAGAAAGUCAAUGACGAGUUCAUACGGGAAGUCCUCUGAUAGCCGGUGGGGAACAACUGAGGUCUGAACACCUACUAGCACACAAACAAAGGAGCAGUAAAGAACUAACUUUGGCUUCAGGGAAAGCAAUAGCACAAUAGUCAGCUUAUAUUUGUACUAAUACAUAUGAGCAAAUAUACAUGUAUAUAUGUAAAUAUAUGCAAGCUCUAGCCUCCUUAUUUUUUUCAAAAGAAUAAAUUUGCUGGCAGAGCAUGUUCACAGGCAUUUAUUCAAAGAAUAGGAUGAAAAAAAAAAGGAGCCUCAUUUCUGGCAAAUGAUAAAUAAAUAUAUUUGAUUAAUGCAUA